Molecule: ribosomal RNA, 254 nt
Filed under: uncultured bacterium
Lineage: Bacteria
Description: partial 16S ribosomal RNA
Rfam family: Bacterial small subunit ribosomal RNA
Source: RNAcentral
UACAGAGGUGGCAAGCGUUGUUCGGAAUUACUGGGCGUAAAGGGCGCGUAGGCGGCCUACUAAGUCAGACGUGAAAUCCCCCGGCUUAACCGGGGAACUGCGUCUGAUACUGGAUGGCUUGAGUGUGGGAGAGGGAUGCGGAAUUCCAGGUGUAGCGGUGAAAUGCGUAGAUAUCUGGAGGAACACCGGUGGCGAAGGCGGCAUCCUGGACUACUACUGACGCUGAGUGAGCGAAAGCCAGGGGAGCAAACGGG